Molecule: ribosomal RNA, 497 nt
Filed under: uncultured bacterium
Lineage: Bacteria
Description: partial 16S ribosomal RNA
Rfam family: Bacterial small subunit ribosomal RNA
Source: RNAcentral
GAUGAACGCUGGCGGCGUGCCUAAUACAUGCAAGUCGAGCGAACAGACGAGGAGCUUGCUCCUCUGACGUUAGCGGCGGACGGGUGAGUAACACGUGGAUAACCUACCUCUAAGACUGGGAUAACUUCGGGAAACCGGAGCUAAUACCGGAUAAUAUAUUGAACCGCAUGGUUCAAUAGUGAAAGACGGUUUUGCUGUCACUUAUAGAUGGAUCCGCGCCGCAUUAGCUAGUUGGUAAGGUAACGGCUUACCAAGGCAACGAUGCGUAGCCGACCUGAGAGAGGGAGCGGCCACACUGGAACUGAGACACGGUCCAGACUCCUACGGGAGGCAGCAGUAGGGAAUCUUCCGCAAUGGGCGAAAGCCUGACGGAGCAACGCCGCGUGAGUGAUGAAGGUCUUCGGAUCGUAAAACUCUGUUAUUAGGGAAGAACAAAUGUGUAAGUAACUAUGCACGUCUUGACGGUACCUAAUCAGAAAGCCACGGCUAACUACGUG